AUUCCAGCUCCAAUAGCGUAUAUUAAAGUUGUUGCGGUUAAAAAGCUCGUAGUUGGAUUUCUGCCGAGGACGACCGGUCUGCCCACUGGGUGUGUAUCUGGUUCGGCCUGGGCAUCUUCUUGGAGAACGUAUCUGCACUUGACUGUGUGGUGCGGUAUCCAGGACCUUUACUUUGAGGAAAUUAGAGUGUUUCAAGCAGGCACACGCCUUGAAUACAUUAGCAUGGAAUAAUAAGAUAGGACCUCGGUUCUAUUUUGUUGGUUUCUAGAACUGUGGUAAUGAUUAAUAGGGAUAGUUGGGGGCAUUAGUAUUUAUUAGCUAGAGGUGGAAUUCUCUAAUUUGAUAAAGACUAACUUAUGCGAAAGCAUUUGCCAAGGAUGUUUUCAUCG
Molecule: ribosomal RNA, 389 nt
Filed under: Thoracosphaeraceae sp.
Lineage: Eukaryota; Dinophyceae; Thoracosphaerales; Thoracosphaeraceae
Description: partial small subunit ribosomal RNA
Rfam family: Eukaryotic small subunit ribosomal RNA
Source: RNAcentral